This 1768-nucleotide small RNA is filed under the name Vigna angularis var. angularis. RNAcentral describes it as "Non-protein coding transcript". The stretch from base 287 to 409 matches the Rfam family "U1 spliceosomal RNA". Lineage: Eukaryota; Viridiplantae; Streptophyta; Magnoliopsida; Fabales; Fabaceae. The record is from RNAcentral.
GGAGUACAUUGCUAAUUUCAUGUUCUGACAUUAUAGUAACAGCAGCCUGCACUAUUCAAGCCAGUUUAAACUUACUUUUAGAGAAAACCAGUUAGAACACUUCAAACGUGACAAAAGUAUGGUUCUCAUUUUAUAUAUUAGAGGUAGUUUUCAUUUCAAAAUCUCGGGAGUUAUUUUGUUUGGUACAUGCAUUCAGAGUUUCUAUUAAUAAUCCCACAUCGGCUAGUACUAAACAGGCGGUAGCCUUUGGGGUGUUUAAAUAAGAAUGGACUCUCAACGUUGAAACAUACUUACCUGGAUGGGGUCUAUGGGUGAUCAUAAAGGCCCAUGGCCUAAGUUGGUAACCUCCAUUGCACACUGGAGGGGUGCCCGCUUAAGGUCUCCCUAGAUGGGAGAGCCUACAUCGCCCCUAUUAUACGAAUUCAAAUGUUUCACUAUAUGUAACUGAAGUACUGAAACCAGUUAAUUGAAAUGGAUUGGGACUAUGAUCUUAGUUGCAUUUGGUUGGAUUAGGUUUGCAAAAUCUAAGGAUCAAUAAAGGAAGAACAGGACUGACUUUUUAAAAGAAGAACAGAUCAAUGACCUCCACCGCUCAUUAUCAAAUUCUGUGUUGAAACCUCCAUGCCAAUUUUAGUUCUGUUGUUUUUGUUUUAUUUGCUUGUUAGUUUCUCUGGUUUUUCUUUCGCGGUAGUGGGUGCUGAAUCUUUAAUUUUUUGUCUGACAUUUGAGUACAUUGCUGUUGGUAUAUAUUUUUAUUGUCUGUCUCAUGAAAAGUUAUAUUGAAUGAACAAUAUAAAUCUAUGAUUCACUUGCCUAUUUUAGUUUCUUUGGUUCAUCUUUCUCGGUAUAUGUUGAACAUUAGACUGCAUUACUGAUGUCAUCUACCCAUUAUUGUCUCUUGAGAAGUUGUGGUGAGCCUUAUAUAUCUAGGUUUGAUUAAAUCGUUUACUAUUGAGUUGAACUUAACAAUUUACAAUCGUGCUGAGCUAUGUUUUAUUUUAGAAUGUUAUUUUUUUGUUGUUGUGUAUUGUGGUAUGUGAGUAAAUGCAGGAGGACAGGGAUUAGGAUUACAAAUCAUGUGAGAUUAUUAAUUUAUUAAGGUACCACGGAAAAAUUGAAGGAAUACAAAGGUUAAAAGUUAAACUGCAAGGAAGCCUGAUCUGUUGUGGAGGGGAUGAUCAAGUGACUAGAAAUCUCCGAUGGAAAACGUGUGGCUCCAAGGAAGAGGCUUUGGCCUUCAUAAGGGAUGUUUGCAUACCUCAUCCAUGGCGUCGCUCAAUCUGCCUUGACUGUUCCAUCGGCUUUAUUUCAGUAUUUCCUUGGUCAGGUGAAGAAAGGCACAAGGCCGACAUAGGCUAUGCCAUUGGGAGGACCUACUGGGGCCAAGGGAUAGCCACCAAAGCGCUCAAGAUUGCUGUGCCUCAAGUCUUCAAGGACUUUCCCAAUUUGCUGAGGUUGCAGGCUUUUGUUGACGUUGAAAACAAAGCUUCUCAGAGGGUGUUGGAAAAAGUUGGAUUCAUCAGAGAGGGUGUUCUCAGAAAGUAUAUUUGUAUUAAAGGGGUGAUUAAGGAUUCUGUUCUGUAUAGUUUCUUGUCAACGGAAGAAGUUCUUGCCGGUGACUAGAUUACUUCUGGUAAUAUUUGGUCUUGUCUGGUGCAAAUAAUGUUAGAUUCAUUGUAAUAUGUAUUUUGUGUAUAAUGCUUUCCAUGAAUUCCUGAUAAAGCAUUUUCUUUUUAUCUCAAUAUUUUGUCUAUGAGAAAGUUGAAUC